This 427-nucleotide ribosomal RNA is filed under the name uncultured bacterium. Its description in RNAcentral is "partial 16S ribosomal RNA". It matches the Rfam family "Bacterial small subunit ribosomal RNA", at positions 355 to 774 of the family's 1533-position model. The record is from RNAcentral.
UGGGGAAUAUUGCACAAUGGGCGCAAGCCUGAUGCAGCCAUGCCGCGUGUGUGAAGAAGGCCUUCGGGUUGUAAAGCACUUUCAGCGAGGAGGAAGGCAGUCGUGUUAAUAGCACGAUUGAUUGACGUUACUCGCAGAAGAAGCACCGGCUAACUCCGUGCCAGCAGCCGCGGUAAUACGGAGGGUGCAAGCGUUAAUCGGACUUACUGGGCGUAAAGCGCACGCAGGCGGUUUGUUAAGUCAGAUGUGAAAUCCCCGCGCUUAACGUGGGAACUGCAUUUGAAACUGGCAAGCUAGAGUCUUGUAGAGGGGGGUAGAAUUCCAGGUGUAGCGGUGAAAUGCGUAGAGAUCUGGAGGAAUACCGGUGGCGAAGGCGGCCCCCUGGACAAAGACUGACGCUCAGGUGCGAAAGCGUGGGGAGCAAACA